Mobula hypostoma (lesser devil ray) is the source of this 1407-nucleotide long non-coding RNA. RefSeq lists it as uncharacterized. The record is from RefSeq and is a predicted model, not a curated record. Lineage: Eukaryota; Metazoa; Chordata; Chondrichthyes; Myliobatiformes; Myliobatidae. The transcript has 4 exons.
UUGCGCCCUGUCUGUCUUGUUGUGUACAUGUCAUGAGGAGGGGGACUCAGAAAGGGAGAGCAAGAGACAUAAAGAGAAUUGAACAGAUAAUUACUACAAUAUUUAAAGGGGGCUCUCCCCCAGGGAUUCUAAUGUUAACUUUAAUCAGCCUUCUCUGAUGCCAAGUCUGAGAGCGUCCCUCACUGCUUUCUUGAGUCAUCGAUGUUACGAGCCUACACGGAGGCGGCAACUGGCAGAGUCCAUUUACCUUCUGGUCCGCACACCUUUGGGAUGCGGUGGGGAAACCAGAUCACCCAGAGGAAGCCCAUGCAGUUACAGGGAGAGUCAAACCGAGUCUGGUGUCACGUGCAGACUGAGUUCCAGGUGGAAUGGAGAACUUGCAGCACAGAGAUUCAGGUAACACACAGAUCAUAAAAUGGACAUAAAUUAUUUGAAGUGAAGGAAAAAAAACCUGAAAAACAAGAACAACAGGAAUGCUGCAGAUGCUGGAAAUUCAAGCAACAUACAUCAAAGUUGCUGGUGAACGCAGCAGGCCAAGCAGCAUCUGUAGGAAGAGGUGCAGUCGACGUUUCAGGCCGAGACCCUUCGUCAGGACUAACUGAAGGAAGAACCCAGUUACCAGUUGGGAAUCCCUGGCCCUGGACAGUCCAAUGAAGAGGCAUCAGGAAACUUGAGUCCUCCAGAAGCAGGAGAUGGAGAACCCACCCAACCUCUCCACCUGAUGCAGAGCUGACAGGUCCCUCAUCUCUGAAUAAGAAGCAAAUCAGCUCAUCCUCUACCUCCAAGGACUGCCCAAAAGAAGAAAACAGACCGUAACUUCUUGGUCACUGAUACUGCCAAAAGUGAUGAGUGUAUCUACUAUUCUCUGGUUUCUUCUCAGAUUGACAGCAACAUUAGUUUUUUCGACUUUUGUUGACGGACCUUUCAGUUUUAAGACUGCUUCUUUAAAGACUGUUAUUGAUUCUAACUUUCUAACUGGCUGCAUCACCAUCUGGCAUGGGGGUGUGACACUGCACAGGAUCAAAAUAAGCUGCACAAAGUUGUAAACUCAGUCAGCUCCAUCCCGGGCACUGGCUUCCUCAGCAUUCAGGACACCUUCAAGGAGCAAUGCCUCAAAAAGGAGUCAUCCAACAUUAAGGCUCCCCAUCACCCAGGACAUGCCCUCUUCUCAUUGCUACCAUCAGGAAGGAGGUAUAGGAGCCUGAAGGCACACUCUCAACGAUUCAGAAACAGAUACUUCCCCUCUACCAUUUGAUUUCUGAAUGGACAAUGAACCCAUGAACACUACCUCACUACUUAUUAAAUUUAACUAUUUUACAUAUAUACUCAUUGUAAUUCACAGUUUUUAUUAUUAAGCAUUAUUAAACAACAGAUUUCAUGACCUAUGCCAGUGAUAUUAAACCUGAU